AUUGAACGCUGGCGGCAUGCCUUACACAUGCAAGUCGAACGGCAGCACGGGUGCUUGCACCUGGUGGCGAGUGGCGAACGGGUGAGUAAUACAUCGGAACAUGUCCUGUAGUGGGGGAUAGCCCGGCGAAAGCCGGAUUAAUACCGCAUACGAUCUACGGAUGAAAGCGGGGGACCUUCGGGCCUCGCGCUAUAGGGUUGGCCGAUGACUGAUUAGCUAGUUGGUGGGGUAAAGGCCUACCAAGGCGACGAUCAGUAGCUGGUCUGAGAGGACGACCAGCCACACUGGGACUGAGACACGGCCCAGACUCCUACGGGAGGCAGCAGUGGGGAAUUUUGGACAAUGGGCGAAAGCCUGAUCCAGCAAUGCCGCGUGUGUGAAGAAGGCCUUCGGGUUGUAAAGCACUUUUGUCCGGAAAGAAAUCCUUGGCCCUAAUACGGUCGGGGGAUGACGGUACCGGAAGAAUAAGCACCGGCCAACUACGUG
This 486-nucleotide ribosomal RNA is filed under the name uncultured bacterium. RNAcentral's name for it is "partial 16S ribosomal RNA". It matches the Rfam family "Bacterial small subunit ribosomal RNA", at positions 30 to 507 of the family's 1533-position model. The record is from RNAcentral.